GACGAACGCUGGCGGCGUGCUUAAUACAUGCAAGUCAACUGAACUUUAGGUAGCAAUAUUUAAAGGGAGGUGGCGCACGGGUGAGUAACACGUAGGUAAUCUGCCUUCAGGACUGACAUAAUUCCGCGAAAGCGGGACUAAAAUCAGAUGAUGCAGCGGCUCGACAUCGAGACAGUUGUUAAACCUUCGGGGCCUGAAGAUGAGCCUGCGUCUGAUUAGGUAGUUGGCGGGGUAAAAGCCCACCAAGCCUGCGAUCAGUAGCUGGUCUGAGAGGAUGAUCAGCCACACUGGAACUGAGACACGGUCCAGACUCCUACGGGAGGCAGCAGUAAGGAAUAUUGCUCAAUGGCCGAAAGGCUGAAGCAGCAACGCCGCGUGGAGGAUGAAAUACUUUAGUAUGUAAACUCCUGUAAGAGGGGAAAAAUAUACAGCUAUGCUGUGUUGAUUGUACCCUCAGAGUAAGCACCGGCUAACUACGUGCCAG
RNAcentral lists this ribosomal RNA (484 nucleotides) under uncultured bacterium. Its description in RNAcentral is "bacterial SSU rRNA". It matches the Rfam family "Bacterial small subunit ribosomal RNA", at positions 28 to 511 of the family's 1533-position model. The record is from RNAcentral.